UGACUUGAAGAGUACAAAUUGGAGGAGUGUACAUGUUAGUAUAGCCAUCAUUGAAGAUUGUCUCAUACAGAUAAGUUGUUAAUUCCUCACGGAAAUAAAAAAAAAGAAUGUUCUGAUCGUGAAAUUUCAGCUGAGAACAGCACUCUAACAACCAAACACAGUAAAUCUUUUAAAACCAGUGAUACGCCUAGAAGCAUAGCGCAUGACACAGGAUUGAGGAUUGCGUGUUUAAUGAGACUUGCGGUGGGGAUCUUCUUGAGGAGACCAUACUCAAUCUUGUUUUCAAAAUUUUUAUUAAUUUUUGGAUUUAAUUAGUAUUUCUAACUGAUACAGUGAUCUUAGAGCUGGCAUUGAACCUUGAAUUUGUUUCUUUCUCUAGUUGAGUUUGGAAUUUUGGAUAUCUAAGGUUGGAAUAUUCUGGAAUGACAUGUAUCGAGUUUGAGAGAAGGGAUUUCUUCCAAAUUUUGAUUGUAUGUGUAUAUGCCUCUAUUAACUACAAACAUUUUGUGGAAUCUAUUUCUGAUUUUA
Long non-coding RNA from Macadamia integrifolia, 528 nucleotides. RefSeq lists it as uncharacterized. The record is from RefSeq and is a predicted model, not a curated record. Lineage: Eukaryota; Viridiplantae; Streptophyta; Magnoliopsida; Proteales; Proteaceae. The transcript has 2 exons.